GCUUUUCGGUUUGUGGUAAAGCAGGGCGCGGCUGCAUCGUGGUUUGUUGGUGAAUAGCAUGUUGUCUCCUUCCGCGCGAGGCUAGCUGCAAGCAACCUGCAGCAAGGGAUACGGUACGGUAGAAACCUGGUAUAAAUGCAUGGUGCCAAGGUUAAGCAAUGUGAUUGCUGAGCUCGAUGCGCUUUACGAGUCAGUCACCAUAUGUACAUCGCUUGGGUGCGGUGCACGCGCUGACAUGCGUACGGUACCAUCAGCGAUUAUAGAGAGGCACCACCAGGCCAACAGAGCUGUGCAUGUGCGUGCGUGCAGCUGUGUGCAGCGCGGCAAUUGGGUGCGAUGGGACAGGGUAAGGGGCAGGUUGGGGCCAUGCAUCCGUCGACAAGUUGCGAGCUUGCGGUGCUUGUAAUCCCAAUGCUUGCAAUCCGGAUCCGGCAGGCCCUCAGCAACGCUGGCAACAUCACAAUUCCCAAUUUGUACGCCCUUAGCACAUGCAGCGAAGCUUCUGACCCAGCGCCCGCAUAUGUUGGGUGGGUGGGUGCCCGUGUUGGAGUGUCCAGUGGCCGCCGCAGCUGAUGCCCAGCGCCUUUCGCUGCCACAUAUUCUUUGGACUCAGCCGCGCCUUCCUUCGCCGGUCUGGUAUACAUUCUUUGCUCUAAGAAGAAGCAAAGCCUGUAGAAAGAAACAGCCUCCUCCAUGCCUACUCUUGACGACAUGACACAUGACGCAACCUAAUAAACUGUAUCUCUACCACAAGGGGGUAAGGGGAGGGUCCGGGGCCAGGAGGAACAAUCAGGGGUGACCAGGCUGUUGAUCUGCGGCACAGAGACGUAAAAUCCCAGGAGUUAGCAACAACGUCUACAGUCCAUGGUGCUAUCUCUCAGCCAGAGAGCAGAGAUCGUCUGUACCCUAGAAAUUUGAACCAAACUUGUUUGGGGCUUGCCGGCUUGGGCCACACGGGUACAACGCCGGUCUCGGAGAGGGGUCAAAUGGGCACUGGGCACGGCACUGGGGUUCUGGUACAUCUCACCUUUGACAUUAUGUGACCUGUGCGCGUUUACAGAUUGGUUACAGGCCCGUUUACAGAUUGCUAUACGUACGCACAUUGAUUCUCUUGACGUGGUCCAGACGUUCGAGUCGAGGACUCUCGCGAUUGCACCCGUGAACAUCGCUCUCCAAACACCCUCCAAACGUCUCCAAUUUGCUACCUCUUCCUGGGCUGUCGUUUCUAGGUACAGGUCAUAACCACGCGAUACAGGUCACAUUCUUGAACAGAUGGCGUCAGAGAUGGCGUCGAUUGACCCGGUGCUCCACAACGCCGAGGACCCGUCUUCGGUGCUCGUGGGCGGAAACCAACCGAUGAAGCAGCAGGAGCAGUCCGCGCGGCCAUUGUGCCGCUGGGCAGGGUCGGCCAGAAAAAAGGCGGGCAGCAACCCUGUCGUCUGCUGCAACCCCAGCUGUCACACGAGGCGCAUGAUUCUGCAGUAUCGCUGCAUCUGCGCCCCCUGCGGACUCUACUUCUGCUCAGCCAGCUGCAUUAGGGACGGGCAUGUGCGCCGCAGAGGAGGAUGCGUGCUAACGGCGGCGGAAUCCGACGUGCGGAACGACGUGCGGUGGCGACUGCAGGAGCGGCGGCCCCUCACAGCCGCAGCCGCGGGAAUGUCGCGGUUGGCUAAUACGUUGGCGGCCCGCGCGGCGUGCGCCCCCGAGGGCUGCCGCGGUCAGGUGGCCAGCGUUGCAGCAUGCAUCCGCACCCUGGUGGGCAGGCGCGACGGCUACAACCAGCAUUGUGUGCAUAUCAGGGACGGCGCGGCUUGCAGCGUGUGCCGCCACCAGGUGCUGUUCGUGGGCUACGCGUACCCCAAAUGGCAGCAGGAGCCCCAGAAGCCGCCGAAGAGGCAAAAGAUGGCCGCGGGACAGGAGCAGGAGCAGGAGCGGGAGCAGGAGCAGUGGGUGAUCACGAGCCGCGGCUUGGGCGAUGAAGUGCUGUGCGGCGUGUGCGGCGCAUGGCAGCAGCUGUGGCACGACCAGCAGCGGCAAGGCCUGCGGCAGCCGGGCUCGGACCAUGCCGGCCCCGAACCGUCGGUGGCAGUCGCCACCACCUCCGGCAGCAGCGGCAGCGACAGCCCCGAUGACAGCGGCGGGCCCUUCCACCGGGGGCUGCGUCUGCGCUCGCUAGUUCCGGCGCCGGGGCCGGCCCUGGUGCGCGUGACGGCGCUUCACAAGCUGGGCCGGUCACUGGUGACGGACGUGCUGUUAAACCAGACGCUGUGUGGGCAGCAAGCACUGGUACAGCCGUUGGACAGCCAGAAGCCCACGGUCGAACCCGUGGCUGCCUUCCUGCGGCGCCACAAGGAGCAGCAGCAGCGCGGGCGUGGGGCCAGCAGCAGUGGCAAGGAUGGCAUUGGCGGCGGCACAAACAGCGACCAGGGUGAGCAGGCGUCCGCCGCCGAACAGGAUCAGGAUCAGAAUCAGGACCGGGACCAGCCCGAGGUGCCUGUAUGGGCUGCUGGUCCCACGCAGGUGAGGCGGGGAGCGCUGGGAAGGGCGUGACAGUCGGGGAGAUGGUGCGGGGCGGUGCGGGGUGUUGAUCAACGUCUGUAGACACAUGGGGCCUGGCCAUGUGUGCCUGCCGCCUGCGUGUGCACGCAGGCGCACCCGGCGGGCGCCGCAGACGUGCUUGUGGAGCUGCCCUACUUCCAGGACUUCGACACAGGCAUGGCCGACGCCAUGUCGGUGCUGAUGGCGCAGCCCAGGCUGCCCGACGCUCUCCAGCGGCCGCCCUACGACCGGUACCAUCUCCUGGUGCCCACCGCUGCGGCGGCGGCUCCGGCUGCCAGCAGUCACCAGUCGCGCUUGCUGCGCCUGCUGCGCGUGUUGGCGCCGCCCAACCCGCUGCUGCAGGCGCCCGACGUGGUGCGCCGCAGCGCCCGCACCUCCUGCAGGCUGAUCAUCGCGCCUCAGGCGCUGGUCGCGCGGUCCACAGACGGAGGCGGCGAGGCCGCGGCUGCGACCGCCUCGAUGCGGACCAGCAGGCGGGGGGCUGCGGGCGCUGCUGCUGCUGCUGCCGCCGCUGGGGGAAGCGGCGGCCAUGGGGCCCCGCCGGCGGAGCAGGGUCAGCAGCCUUGCGGGCAGCCCCACACGCGCGCGCAGCAAAGGGCGCUGAUGCCCCGCUUCAGGGGCGGUGUGACGGGCAUGCACCUGGACCCGACGCGGACGUGCAACCUGGCCAUGGCGCCGGCCAGCAUGUCGCCCGAGGAGCGGCGCACGCUGGUGCUCGCCAGGUGGGUCUGCGUCUCGCCGGCGGGCCUGGCGCGGAUGCUGCAGGCGGUGUACAGCCUGCUGCAGACGGAGCCAGCGGCGGCGGUGCUCGCAAAGGUGCAGCUCUGCCCCGGCCUGCUGCUGGGCAAGGGCAGCCGCAUGCUGUUCACCGCCGACGGCGCGGCGUGGCUGCGCGAGCGGCUGCUGCCGGGCGAGGUGCUCGAGCUGGAGCAGCGGCACGGAGAGGUGGUGGAGGUGCCGACGGGCUGGGCGCACCAGGUGGUGAACGAGCACACCUGCGUCAAGCUGGCGUUCGACCGCAGCUGCCUGCUGGACGUGGCCGCCGACUUUGAGCUGUUGCACCUGGUCCGCGAGGUGGACGCGCGCCUGCCGCCGGACGCCGCCGUGACCGCCACCGCGCUGCUGCUGGACGACACGCCGCGGGUGGAGCAGACCAUGCUGGACGCGCUUGAUUGGCUGUUGGUGUCAAGCAAUUAAGGACGCCUUAUAGGUCCCCUGAUGAGAGCACCAGCCGCACACGCCCCGUGUACGUCCAGCAGCAGUUGCACCACUAAGGCAGCCUGAUGAUGAUGUGGCUGUGUGUUGCCACUGGGGAAAUUUUACAUGUUGCGUGUGCGGUGUGGUGACUGUUCUUACCCUAUGCUGCUGGGGGGUUGAGGCUGUACGCGUGGUGUAGCGCUGUAUGUGUACGGUAGUAAGACGUAAACGCGUCUGUAGCACAUGUGGCUGUACGUGCGCAGUGAAGUCAAAACAUAAUUAUGUGAGUCUAAGCCUGUAAGAAGGGUGUUUGGAAGCUGCUUUUACAGGGAUUUGUGGCGGAGGUAAUUGGCUGGCUUUCGCAGCGUUCAGUGAUGGCCACAGCAGCCCAAAUUGCAAACAACAAAAUACAGCUACGGCAAGGACGCCACAGGCGGCCAUAGCGCAUGGCAUGGCCAGUGCCACCGCGCGGCUUAUCGUGGCUUAUUAAGUUAUCAGUUGGCCAUUGUUCCAAAAUGUACAUGGUAGUGUCUCUGGUGGGGGCAUCCGAGCAGAUGGAUCCAAUAAUACGAUCCGUGUGUGUUUUGCACGUUGUGCCCGCCGUUCGCUCGCUGGAGCCCCUAAGGCGCGUGGCGCCCGUGCGUGGCACCUGCCACUCGCUUUUCUGAUUGUGAUGAAGCAAGGUGCGGCUAUAUCGUUGGUUUAUUUGGUAUAUAGCAUGUUGUCUCCUUCCGCAAGCUGCAACCAACCUGCAGCAAGGGAUACGGUAUGGUAUAGACCGGGUAUAAAUGCAUGGUGCCAAGGUUAAGCAAUGUGAUUGCUGAGCUCGAUGCGCUUUACGAGUCAGCCACCAUACAUCGCUUGGGUGCGGUGCACGCG
This 4635-nucleotide long non-coding RNA is filed under the name Chlamydomonas reinhardtii. RNAcentral describes it as "long non-coding RNA (CREI_LNC000863)". Lineage: Eukaryota; Viridiplantae; Chlorophyta; Chlorophyceae; Chlamydomonadales; Chlamydomonadaceae. The record is from RNAcentral.